RNAcentral lists this ribosomal RNA (254 nucleotides) under uncultured bacterium. Its description in RNAcentral is "partial 16S ribosomal RNA". It matches the Rfam family "Bacterial small subunit ribosomal RNA", at positions 524 to 776 of the family's 1533-position model. The record is from RNAcentral.
UACGGGGGGGGCAAGCGUUGUCCGGAAUUAUUGGGCGUAAAGAGCUCGUAGGCGGUGUGUCGCGUCGGCCGUGAAAACCUGCAGCUUAACUGUGGGCGUGCGGUCGAUACGGGCAUCACUGGAGUUCGGCAGGGGAGACUGGAAUUCCUGGUGUAGCGGUGAAAUGCGUAGAUAUCUGGAGGAACACCGGUGGCGAAGGCGGCAUCCUGGACCAACACUGACACUGAGGAGCGAAAGCCAGGGGAGCAAACGGG